Molecule: ribosomal RNA, 911 nt
Filed under: uncultured archaeon
Lineage: Archaea
Description: bacterial SSU rRNA
Rfam family: Archaeal small subunit ribosomal RNA
Source: RNAcentral
UUCCGGUUGAUCCUGCCGGAGGCUACCGCUAUUGGAAUCCGAUUAAGCCAUGCGAGUCGAGAGAUUUCGGAUCUCGGCAGACGUCUCAGUAACACGCGGAUAAUCUGCCCUUGAGUGGAGGAUAAUCUCGGAAACCUGAGCAUAAUACUCCAUAGACCUAGGAUGCUGGAAUGCUUCUAGGUUCAAAGCUCCGGCGCUCAAGGAUGAGUCUGCGGCCUAUCAGGCAGUAGUGGGUGUAACGGACCCACUAACCUUUGACGGGUAUGGGCCUUGAGAGAGGUUGCCCAGAGUUGGACUCUGAGACACGAGUCCAGGCCCUACGGGGUGCAGCAGGCGCGAAAACUUCACAAUGUGGGAAACCGCGAUGAGGGGAUUCCAAGUGCCAGCACACUGUGUUGGCUGUUCACCUGCCUAAAAAGCUGGUGAAGUAAGGGCCGGGUAAGACGGGUGCCAGCCGCCGCGGUAAUACCCGCGGCCCGAGUGGUGGUCGUUAUUAUUGAGCCUAAAGCGUCCGUAGCCGGUUUGGUAAAUUUCUGGGUAAAUCGGGCAGCUUAACUGUCCGAAUUCCGGAAAGACUGCCAAACUUGGGACCGGGGGAGGUUGGAGGUACUCCUGGGGUAGGGGUGAAAUCCUGUAAUCCUGGGGGACCACCAGUGGCGAAGGCGUCCAACCAAAACGGAUCCGACGGUAAGGGACGAAGCCCUGGGGCGCAAACGGGAUUAGAUACCCCGGUAGUCCAGGGUGUAAACGCUGCACGCUUGGUGUUGGGGGUCCUACGAGGGCGCCCAGUGCCGGAGAGAAGUUGUUAAGCCUGCCGCUUGGGGAGUACGUCCGCAAGGAUGAAACUUAAAGGAAUUGGCGGGGGAGCACAGCAACGGUGGAGCGUGCGGUUCAUUGGAGUCAACGCCGGA